This 513-nucleotide ribosomal RNA is filed under the name uncultured compost bacterium. RNAcentral describes it as "bacterial SSU rRNA". It matches the Rfam family "Bacterial small subunit ribosomal RNA", at positions 377 to 890 of the family's 1533-position model. The record is from RNAcentral.
GCAACCCUGAUCCAGCCAUGCCGCGUGCAGGACGACUGCCCUAUGGGUUGUAAACUGCUUUUGUUAGGGAAUAAACCCCGCUACGUGUAGCGGGCUGAAUGUACCUAAAGAAUAAGGAUCGGCUAACUCCGUGCCAGCAGCCGCGGUAAUACGGAGGAUCCGAGCGUUAUCCGGAUUUAUUGGGUUUAAAGGGUGCGUAGGCGGCACUUUAAGUCAGGGGUGAAAGACGGCAGCUCAACUGUCGCAGUGCCCUUGAUACUGAAGUGCUUGAAUGCGGUUGAAGACGGCGGAAUGAGACAAGUAGCGGUGAAAUGCAUAGAUAUGUCUCAGAACACCGAUUGCGAAGGCAGCUGUCUAAGCCGUUAUUGACGCUGAUGCACGAAAGCGUGGGGAUCGAACAGGAUUAGAUACCCUGGUAGUCCACGCCCUAAACGAUGAUGACUCGAUGUUUGCGAUAUACCGUAAGCGUCCAAGCGAAAGCGUUAAGUCAUCCACCUGGGGAGUACGCCCGCA